UGCCCAGCAACUCCUAUCCCUACCUCCUCGUGGUACCGGCUGGAAAUUACGAGCAACCUUACCUUAGAGAAGA
Aedes albopictus (Asian tiger mosquito) is the source of this 73-nucleotide non-coding RNA. NCBI's taxonomy places the organism in Eukaryota, Metazoa, Arthropoda, Insecta, Diptera, Culicidae. The record is from Rfam.